Long non-coding RNA from Gallus gallus (chicken), 2196 nucleotides. RefSeq lists it as uncharacterized. NCBI's taxonomy places the organism in Eukaryota, Metazoa, Chordata, Aves, Galliformes, Phasianidae. The transcript is spliced from 3 exons. The record is from RefSeq and is a predicted model, not a curated record.
AGACACAAAGAGCUCCCUCUCAGUGUCUCAGGGCUGGUGCUGUUAGCGGGACACGUCCUUGGAAUGCAGCCAGCUGUGGUCACAGCUGAAGGGCCAGAGAUGGUGCUGGGCUCUCUGCUCACAGCCCAUGAGGACAGCAAGGACCUGGGAGAGCUGUGAGGUUCUUCCCAGAAAGGACCCACACUACAAUCUCUGAAAAAACAAGCACAUAGCCCUGUUCUGUGCUGCAGUCCCUCCUAACAAGAAUGCAACUGCCACCACCUAAAGGAUGACUUGAGCCUUCAGCUGCUCUCUGCCUUUAGUCCAGCAGAGCUGCCACCCCUGGUGCAGCUGAGCCGUGUGGCUCUUGCUGAGUCCCACAUUUUGUGCCCCACCGUCCACUUACCCUGAGCAUGUGCACCCUGUGCUUCCUGUAUGUGAUGCUGCUACCGCCCCUUUGCUGUGUAUCGGAUGAGCUUUGCCAGAUGAAUUACCAGCUCUGCCUGCCACAUACGGCACUGGAGAGAAAAUCAAGAUGUAUAUAUAGGAGAAUUUGCUGUCCUGCAUACAUCAGCAGCCAGUGCAGCAUCCCCUCACGUUCCGUGUGGCCCACGGAGGAUGAACAUGUCAGCCAAAGUCAACUGAUGCCAUCUGUAACUGCAAAACUGCAAAUAUGCCAGUGUGAGCGGACAAGAAAGCCAAGGCAUAUCCAUUGUUGGCAACAGAGUCUUCACUGUGAAAAUCCAUCCUGUGAGUCUCAGAAAGUUGCAUAUACAGUAACAGAUGAACAACAGCGACCAUCUGUAACUGAUUACCUUAAUUACUGGGCUAGCCUAACUGUGGUAAUGUUCAAAAAUUAGUCUCAUUCACCUAGAAGUUGAGUGGCCAUUAACUGUGAAGUGAUUACUGGGCUAUUAAAGGUUACUCCUCAGGGAGCUAUUUUUAACAAAACUGUGCACUUCUGUGUCAUAAAUGAUCAGCUCACUUGAGCAAAACAUGCCAGCUCUAAGAAGAGAGGAUUGGAAGGUCCUCUGAUGGCUUGGCCAAGGUCAAAGACUGCUUGUCUUUUGGGCAAAGGAAGGGAACUCUGUACAUUUAGAAAAGGUCUGAAGUCUUCUCACCUAAUUGCAUGAUGUGUAGAUGUACACAUCAUGAUUCAGCAAAGUAUUAACAGAUUACAAUCAAGAGAGGUACUCUAUGUUAAUCUAAUCUAACCAACUCCUAAACUAAUGCCACCAGGCAUCCCUGAAUUCCAAUAGCUGCUCCAAAACCUUUUUUGGCAAUGUAUCCAAUCUGAACUUACUCGGUGACAGAGUUUUCAUUCCAAGCCAUGGCAAAUUGUUCUACUUGGCAGUGACUGUUACUGUCAGCAAUUCACACCUUUAUUUUUAUGCUGUAUAUACAUACCUAGCAUCAACCUCCAUAGGAUCUUACCAGAUUCUUCUCCUCCUGACUCUCAAACUUCUGUUUCCCAGAAGUAGUUACUUACAAACCGUGGUCAAGCUGCUUAUUUGAUAAGCUUUUUUUUUUUUUUUAAUAUAUUUGUGACAUUCAAAUGUUUUAAUUUCUCAAUGUUCUUUACAGCAUGUGAAUACAAAAACUGUCUGAAAUAUUCCCGCUUGCACCAGUGCUAAGAACACAGAUCAUAAAACCUUCACUCCUUCCUGUAUUCCCGUAUCUAUCAUUAGUUAAAAAGACACAGUGACCUCCACAUCUUCAACUAAUGACCUUGAGAGGCUUUCUAGAAAUGCCUGGAGCAGGAAUAUCAUUUUCGUUCCUGGACAAAUGAUCUUACAUCAGUGUUUUUGUGUGAGUGCCUUUCAUGUCGUUUAUUUGUACUCAACACACCAGUCUGCUUGUAUUCACGACCUUCUACGUAGUAUUUCCCACCUUCAAAUUCUAUGAGUGUCUCAUCCGUCAGUUUGAUCAACAGUAAUUCUAUUGGCACGCUGGUAAUUCAUGACCAGAUUGUGCAGAACCUUAGGAAAAAAAUAUUCAUGUAGCAAUGGCUUGCCGUUUAUGAUUCCAUUUCAAGUGCUUAGCAGGAUUUUGAUUAACUGCUUUUAUACUAUAUAAUAAUUCUGUAGAUUUUGCCACAGUUAAAAUACUUUGUCAUGUCAGAUGACUUCUGAAAAACCAAACCCAUUAAACUAUUAAAUGAACUUUAUCUGUUGAACAUGGAGCUUCACUGAAGUAUACUCUGCAAAAACCCUUAGG